CCUACGGGAGGCAGCAGUGAGGAAUAUUGGUCAAUGGAGGAGAGUCUGAACCAGCCAAGUAGCGUGAAGGAUGACUGCCCUAUGGGUUGUAAACUUCUUUUAUAUGGGAAUAAAAUGUUCCACGUGUGGGAUUUUGUAUGUACCAUAUGAAUAAGGAUCGGCUAACUCCGUGCCAGCAGCCGCGGUAAUACGGAGGAUCCGAGCGUUAUCCGGAUUUAUUGGGUUUAAAGGGAGCGUAGGUGGAUUGUUAAGUCAGUUGUGAAAGUUUGCGGCUCAACCGUAAAAUUGCAGUUGAAACUGGCAGUCUUGAGUACAGUAGAGGUGGGCGGAAUUCGUGGUGUAGCGGUGAAAUGCUUAGAUAUCACGAAGAACUCCGAUUGCGAAGGCAGUUCACUGGACUGCAACUGACACUGAGGCUCGAAAGUGUGGGUAUCAAACAGGAUUAGAUACCCCUGUAGUC
RNAcentral lists this ribosomal RNA (460 nucleotides) under uncultured bacterium. Its description in RNAcentral is "partial 16S ribosomal RNA". It matches the Rfam family "Bacterial small subunit ribosomal RNA", at positions 338 to 795 of the family's 1533-position model. The record is from RNAcentral.